CACUCCUGCGGGAGGCAGCAGUGGGGAAUUUUGGACAAUGGGCGAAAGCCUGAUCCAGCCAUGCCGCGUGCAGGAUGAAGGCCUUCGGGUUGUAAACUGCUUUUGUACGGAACGAAACGGCCUUUUCUAAUAAAGAGGGCUAAUGACGGUACCGUAAGAAUAAGCACCGGCUAACUACGUGCCAGCAGCCGCGGUAAUACGUAGGGUGCAAGCGUUAACCGGAAUUACUGGGCGUAAAGCGUGCGCAGGCGGUUAUGUAAGACAGUUGUGAAAUCCCCGGGCUCAACCUGGGAACUGCAUCUGUGACUGCAUAGCUAGAGUACGGUAGAGGGGGAUGGAAUUCCGCGUGUAGCAGUGAAAUGCGUAGAUAUGCGGAGGAACACCGAUGGCGAAGGCAAUCCCCUGGACCUGUACUGACGCUCAUGCACGAAAGCGUGGGGAGCAAACAGGAUUAGAUACCCUUGUAGUCCCAUG
RNAcentral lists this ribosomal RNA (474 nucleotides) under uncultured organism. RNAcentral's name for it is "partial 16S ribosomal RNA". It matches the Rfam family "Bacterial small subunit ribosomal RNA", at positions 334 to 799 of the family's 1533-position model. The record is from RNAcentral.